RNA transcript from Triticum aestivum (bread wheat), 3869 nucleotides. It is a transcript of the gene named transcription termination factor MTERF15, mitochondrial, with no coding region annotated. The transcript is spliced from 3 exons. The record is from RefSeq and is a predicted model, not a curated record. NCBI's taxonomy places the organism in Eukaryota, Viridiplantae, Streptophyta, Magnoliopsida, Poales, Poaceae.
CCAACCAGACCACGCAAAUCCAUCCCCAUCACUCUCUCUCUCCCUCGCCGCCGGCGCCACCGCGCCGCCGACGACAGCAGUACGCCAUGCUCCGCCUCCACAAGUACGUCCUCACCCAACUGCUACCUUCUUCCUCCGCCUCCGCCUCCGCCAUCUCCCCUCUCAGCCGCCUCAUCUCCGCCGCCGCGCCCGCCGUUUCCCCCACCCCUAGCAGCUUCGCCGUGGAGGAGUACCUCGUCGCCACCUGCGGCCUCAUCCGACCCCAGGCCGCCAAGGCCUCCGCCAAGCUCUCCCACCUCAAAUCCCCCGCCAAGCCCGACGCCGUCCUCGCCUUCCUCGCCGGCCUCGGCCUCUCCGGCGCCGACGUGGCCGCUUCCGCUCUAGAUCCAUGGUCUCCAAGCUGCAAUACUACUUGCCUCUCUUUGGGUCCUCUGAGCACCUCCUCCGGGCCUUCAAGAGGAACCCCUACCUUCUCUCGUCUGACCUUGAGGGUGUGGUCAAGCCCAAUGUCGCUUAUCUGCACGAGUGCGGGCUAGGUGCUUGUGAUAUUGCCAAGCUAUGCAUCAGUCGACCAGGUCUGCUCGUCAUCAAUCCAGAGCGCUUCCAGGACAUGGUGGCAUAUGCCGAAAACAUAGGUGUGCCCUGUGGUUCUGGGAUGUUCAGCCACGCGCUGCAUGCUGUUGCGUGUUUCAGCAAAGAGGAGAUCGCGGCCAGGGUGGACUACUUGAAGAACACGUUCAUGUGGACGGAUGCUGAGGUGGGCAUUGCUGUUUCUAAGGCCCCAUUGAUACUGACGAGGUCCAAGGAAUCGCUGCAGCGCAGGUCUGAGUUCCUCAUCUCCAAGGUGGGGUUGGAACCGGCAUAUAUUGCUUGUCAUCCGGCAAUGCUCACGUAUAGCUUGGAGGGUCGGCUCAGACCCCGGUACUAUGUUGUCAAAUUUCUCAAGGAAAGUGGAUUGCUAGAUCAUGACCGGGGCUACUUUGGUGCAGUCACGAUCAGCGAGAAGGUAUUCGUCGAGAAGUUCAUAUGCCCUCAUAAGGAUGCUGCACCGCAUCUCGCUGAAGAUUAUGCAACAGCUUGCAGAGGGGAGGUUCCAGCUAGAUUCAGUUUUACAUGAACCAAGACUAAUAAGAAAAUUGGUAUGUUCAUUAUGUCAUUCAGUAGAGAAGAAACCAUCACACUGCUGUGAAAUGGCCAUUUCAGUUUUGAAUGCAAUCCUCAAUCAAUAUUUCCAUGAAAGAAUGGUCUCAUUUUGGCCAUAAAGAUGAUAUGAAGUCUCUACUUUUCUUUGGAUGGAAAUUUUGAACCUCUUUUUCCUUGGGAAACAAUUUUGGAUUUGUUGAUGUGCUGAUCACUGUUGAGGAUCCAGUUUUGAUCUAGUUUGUUGGUUGCUUGCUUGCUUUAGUUCUUCUAAGCUGAAAUAUUCCUUCUGCCUGGAGUAGCUUUAUUAGUAGCUUUCUUUAUAAGAUAUUAACUGUUCUGAAAGCAGGCCAUUGUUGACUAGUAGUUUGUAUAUCAGUUUUUUUUUUGUCUCUUGUAGUUUUGGAUGACCUUCUGGGUGGUACUUUUCUAGGGGCAUCUGAUCUCGAAACUGAAUAGUUGAGUACAUCACCACGUGAACAGAUAUUUCUAACGCCCCGUUGCUUUUGUUGGAGAAGCAAAUUGCCGCUUGCAUGGUAAUGGCAUGGUGCUGACAAACAGAGGGCAUUUCAUACAACAAGGGAAGUUAUGUUAUGGUAACCUGAAAAAGGGUUAUGGCAUUACCAUGUUAGUUUCUGCUAUAUCUUUUAGCUAAUUUUAUUCCAUAAAAGCACUAUCCAUAAUUCCAUAUAGAUUGUGAGGGCAUCUUUAUCCUGUAGCAUAUUUGUUUAGGAUAGUAAAGUGGGUCUUAUGUACCAUCACUUUUGCAAAUUUCUAUCUGGAAAGUUGGAAUGGGAAUAGGAUGCCAUGUAGUCUGGAAUCUUGCAGAAUUUCAGACAUAGGAAUUACUAGGUACCUCAGUCUACAAACCAACCUGUGUGAGGAUGGUGCACAUUUUGUUUGUUCCUGAUGUGAGGCUGUAGAAGUUGUAGGAAAUGAGAUCUCAGGUGCGUCCUUGCAUUUAAAGAUCAGCUCUGUGUCGCCCUUCUCUGGUGCUUGUUGAAAUUAUAGAAUCAACAUUAAUGAAAUGUAGGAGAAGUGAACAGGUUGGCUGAUGAAGUGACUUACCACCAGGUGACAAGAUAUGGGGUUCUUCCUCAAGCAAAAAGUGGCUGGGCAAUAGGAGCAUACUGAUUGAAUGUAUUUGAAUUUUUGCAAUUGAAGAUGUGCUGAAACUGCAUGUUGAUGGUGCUUUCUUCUUCUUCCAGGAAACGACGCGAAACAUGUCGGCAAUGGCUUUGAUGCACUAAUACAUGAUUCUGAAGGCUCUGUAAGUUGAUGAUGCCCUGAAGAUUUAGUGACAAGUAUGGCCUGAUGCUGGCAUCUGACACGGAAAAUGAGAGGAACAAUUUAGGGUGACAUAUUGGCAUCAGUCAACAACAAGUAUGGAGAGGGUGAAGCAGCACUUGAAGAAAAUUAAUGAAGCAAAAGCUAAUGCAGCACGCUCCUCGAGAGGCUGCAUCCAUCCCUGCCGUUGGCUGGCUGCUGGACAAAACUGGGGCUACGCAUGAUUGGUUAGACGCACUUGAUCUUCUCGAACCUGGCCGGCGACGACAGAGGCAGCUCGAGCGGGCAGGUGACCUCCAGCCUGUGCGCGUCGCCGUGUGGCGGGUACUUGACCUCCCUGGCGAGCUUCAGCUGCAGCCGGAACACACCUCCCGCCGCGCUCUCCUUCACGAACUCCGCCACCCCGGCGCUUCCCAGAGGGGCGGCGCUCUCGCCCGACGACGCGACACGACGCGACGUUGUACACCUCCGUCUUCCACUGCCGGAUGUUCCCGUGCGAGCCCCCCCCCCCCCCCCCCGCAUCCUGACGCUGGCGAAGCGCUCGCCGGCGAAGAGCAGCUCUGCAUCGAGCGGCGCACCAACCCUGGCGUGCAUGGCCCAGUUCCGGUUGUGCAUGGCGACGGCGAGGGAGAUGUCGUAGGCGAGCAUGGUGCCGUUGGGGCCGGUGAGGGCCAGGUGGGCGAGCGAGGCGUCCUCAACGGGGACGCGGACGGGAAGGACGAAGGCGUAGGCCGCGACGAGGAUGGCAACCAGGAGAAGGAGGAGGAGGAGGAUCAGGAGGCAGCGGUGGGGAGUGUGGCCCCGAGAGCCGUUGUCGGAGCAGCAACAGCAGACAAAACAGUCGCCGUCACCGCAGUCAGCAGGGCAGUCGCCGUCGCUCAUGGUGCUGAUUGUUUCUUGUUUGUGCCUGAUCUGGUUCUGAUCGAUUGAGCAGCAGGGCAAAGCGAUGUAUGCAUAUAUAGAUUAUGGGUCGCGCUAACUGCCACACGUGUGGCAUAUACGACAUGCGCCCACACACCAUGUGUGGUGUACGUAGGAGGCAGCCCACAUGGAUUGUGUGUGGGCGGACAUUAGAAUUGCCCACACGUGUGGGCGCGGCUAUUUCGUGCCACACGUCCAACAAGUACUACUUAUCUUCACCCCGUGUGUGUGGCACGAAGCAAAAAUGCCCACACGUCAUAGCGCAGCUACAUUAAGUACUCCGCGGGAUGACGGUUUAGUUGCCAUCCUGGUUGGCAGAUGUAGUUAUCCGGUAUGGCAACUGUAGUUAUAAAAGCAUGGCAACUCUAUCUGUUUUGGUUAAAUAUAGUUGCCAUGUCUAAUUUAUGAUAGUUGCCGCGUGUAAUCAAACCGUAGUUGCCGUGUGUGAUUAGCUACUUGCCAUAUAUGGUCAAAACAGUAGUUGCCAUGUGUGUUUACCUAGUUGCCGCGUGUGGUCCAAC